RNAcentral lists this long non-coding RNA (597 nucleotides) under Vigna radiata. RNAcentral describes it as "long non-coding RNA (VRAD_LNC006550)". The record is from RNAcentral. Lineage: Eukaryota; Viridiplantae; Streptophyta; Magnoliopsida; Fabales; Fabaceae.
AAGCAUAUAAAUGAAGAACAAUUCAAUAUAUGAGAGUUUCAAAGGAUUACAUCGUUUUUCCCAACAACAAAGGGGUUUAGUUCACCAUUGUCAUGUGAACUAGAUGAAAAUAAUGAAGGUAAUGGAAAGAUAAACCUGAGAAAUGUAGGUUGGAGCUUUCGCAUCCAAAAUUCGCCUCCAAGGGGUGAGAAAGGGUGUUUCUGCGUCUUCUUCUGCCAAAAGAUGACCUCUAAGGGUCGCACUGAUCUAUUUAUAAACUGUGAAAAAUUAUAGAAACCAGGCUCAAGUCCAAAGUACAGUGCUCAGCGGUAGGUGCGACACUCAAGUGGGACGCUCAGCGUUCACGCCCAGGCAUUUGGUAGUGCUGUCACUAGAGAAGCCAGCGCUUAGCGCUGGUUCUAGCGCUCAGCGGUAGGCACGACUCUAUCUUCUCCCCUCAGCGUCAACGCUUAAGCGUUUGACAAAGGCUUUUUCAGCAAAGCUGGUUGCGAUUCUUCAUUUGCACUGUUUUUCAUCCUUUCUUGAGUCCAACUCCUUCCUAAUUCAUUCAAUUCUCGUUAAGUCCUGUAAAAACAAGAAAAACAAAGCAUAAUACCC